This is a non-coding RNA of Pluteus cervinus, 92 nucleotides long. The record is from the annotation of a GenBank genome assembly. Lineage: Eukaryota; Fungi; Basidiomycota; Agaricomycetes; Agaricales; Pluteaceae.
GGGGGCAUAGCUCAGUUGGGAGAGCAACAGACUGAAGCCAAUCCGCAAGGGUGGUCUUCUGGAGGUCCCGCGUUCAAUCCGCGGUGCCCCCA